AGAGUUUGAUCCUGGCUCAGGAUUAACGUUGGUAGUAUGCCUAACACAUGCAAGUCGAACGGGGUUAUAGUAAUAUAAUCCAGUGGCGAACGGGUGAGUAAUACUUAUCUUACUUGCCAAUUAGUGGGGGAUAACUAUGGGAAACCAUGGCUAAUACCGCAUUUGUUGCUUCGGUAAUAAAAGGGAGUCGCAAGAUUUCU
RNAcentral lists this ribosomal RNA (200 nucleotides) under uncultured bacterium. RNAcentral's name for it is "partial 16S ribosomal RNA". It matches the Rfam family "Bacterial small subunit ribosomal RNA", at positions 8 to 216 of the family's 1533-position model. The record is from RNAcentral.